Molecule: ribosomal RNA, 908 nt
Filed under: Escherichia coli
Lineage: Bacteria; Pseudomonadati; Pseudomonadota; Gammaproteobacteria; Enterobacterales; Enterobacteriaceae
Description: partial 23S ribosomal RNA
Rfam family: Bacterial large subunit ribosomal RNA
Source: RNAcentral
AGUAGCGGCGAGCGAACGGGGAGGAGCCCAGAGCCUGAAUCAGUGUGUGUGUUAGUGGAAGCGUCUGGAAAGGCGCGCGAUACAGGGUGACAGCCCCGUACACAAAAAUGCACAUGCUGUGAGCUCGAUGAGUAGGGCGGGACACGUGGUAUCCUGUCUGAAUAUGGGGGGACCAUCCUCCAAGGCUAAAUACUCCUGACUGACCGAUAGUGAACCAGUACCGUGAGGGAAAGGCGAAAAGAACCCCGGCGAGGGGAGUGAAAAAGAACCUGAAACCGUGUACGUACAAGCAGUGGGAGCCUCUUAAUGGGGUGACUGCGUACCUUUUGUAUAAUGGGUCAGCGACUUAUAUUCUGUAGCAAGGUUAACCGAAUAGGGGAGCCGAAGGGAAACCGAGUCUUAACUGGGCGUUAAGUUGCAGGGUAUAGACCCGAAACCCGGUGAUCUAGCCAUGGGCAGGUUGAAGGUUGGGUAACACUAACUGGAGGACCGAACCGACUAAUGUUGAAAAAUUAGCGGAUGACUUGUGGCUGGGGGUGAAAGGCCAAUCAAACCGGGAGAUAGCUGGUUCUCCCCGAAAGCUAUUUAGGUAGCGCCUCGUGAAUUCAUCUCCGGGGGUAGAGCACUGUUUCGGCAAGGGGGUCAUCCCGACUUACCAACCCGAUGCAAACUGCGAAUACCGGAGAAUGUUAUCACGGGAGACACACGGCGGGUGCUAACGUCCGUCGUGAAGAGGGAAACAACCCAGACCGCCAGCUAAGGUCCCAAAGUCAUGGUUAAGUGGGAAACGAUGUGGGAAGGCCCAGACAGCCAGGAUGUUGGCUUAGAAGCAGCCAUCAUUUAAAGAAAGCGUAAUAGCUCACUGGUCGAGUCGGCCUGCGCGGAAGAUGUAACGGGGCUAAACCAUG